RNAcentral lists this Y RNA (93 nucleotides) under Pongo abelii (Sumatran orangutan). Its description in RNAcentral is "Y RNA (ENSPPYG00000022412.2)". It matches the Rfam family "Y RNA". From Rfam's summary of the family: Y RNAs are components of the Ro ribonucleoprotein particle (Ro RNP), in association with Ro60 and La proteins. The record is from Rfam by way of RNAcentral. Lineage: Eukaryota; Metazoa; Chordata; Mammalia; Primates; Hominidae.
GGCUGGUCCGAUGGUAGCGGGUUACCAGAACUUAGUAACAUUAAUAUCUCUAAAGUUAGUAUACAACCCCCCACUGCUAAAUUUGGCUAUAAA